GCAUUUCUCAUUUGACAUUAGCUGCCCAGCUUUCCGCUGAUACGUUGACUCCAGGAGGCUCCUUGAGUUCUGAGUGUUUGGCUGGCCUCUGGUGGCCCCAUUAUUAUUUUCUGCCAGGUGAAGGUCAGUCACCUGCACACAGAUCUCAUUACUCAUGAUAUGCUGCAGCUGGAAUCAAAGGCAAGCUGUUAGUGAACACAAAACAUUUCUCCAUUACACAGUCAACGUUCCUUUGACUCAAAAAAGGUUUUGUUUUUUUUUUGGCUGGCAAUUUUAGAAAAUUCAUCACACAAACCACUGUAUCAUUUUCUCGGACAAUAAUCAAGCCAAGAUUUUCAACCAUAUCUGUGGUCCAUUGUAAAACUUUCAUCUCUAUUUAAAAUAAAAAUCAUAGAGAACUCAGGUUAA
RNAcentral lists this long non-coding RNA (408 nucleotides) under Pan troglodytes (chimpanzee). Its description in RNAcentral is "lincRNA". Lineage: Eukaryota; Metazoa; Chordata; Mammalia; Primates; Hominidae. The record is from RNAcentral.